CCUACGGGAGGCAGCAGUGAGGAAUAUUGGUCAAUGGUCGCAACUCUGAACCAGCCAAGCAGCGUGCAGGAUGACGGUCCAAUGUCUCGUAAACUUCUUUUAUCCGGGGACAAACUCAGGCACGCGUCCCCGAAUGAGUGUACCUCAAGAACAAGCAUCGGCUAACUCCGUGCCAGCAGCCGCGGUAAUACGGAGGCUGCGGGCGUUAUCCGGAUUUAUUGGGUUUAAAGGGUGCGCAGGCGGUCUGUUAAGCCAGUUGUGAAAUGUUGCGGCUCAACCGUAGAAUUGCAGUGGAAACUGGCAGGCUUGAGUGCAGCAGAGGUGGGCGGAAUUCGUGGUGUAGCGGUGAAAUGCUUAGAUAUCACGAAGAACUCCGAUUGCGAAGGCAGCCUACCGGAGCGUAACUGACGCUGAGGCUCGAAGGUGUGGGUAUCGAACAGGAUUAGAUACCCGGGUAGUC
RNAcentral lists this ribosomal RNA (460 nucleotides) under uncultured bacterium. RNAcentral describes it as "partial 16S ribosomal RNA". It matches the Rfam family "Bacterial small subunit ribosomal RNA", at positions 338 to 795 of the family's 1533-position model. The record is from RNAcentral.